GAUGAACGCUGGCUACAGGCUUAACACAUGCAAGUCGAGGGGAAACGGCAUUGAGUGCUUGCACUGAAUGGACGUCGACCGGCGCACGGGUGAGUAACGCGUAUCCAACCUUCCCGUUACUGCGGGAUAACCUGCCGAAAGGCAGACUAAUACCGCAUGUUCUUCGAUGACGGCAUCAGAUUCGAAGCAAAGAUCCGUCGGUAACGGAGGGGGAUGCGUCUGAUUAGCUAGUUGGCGGGGCGACGGCCCACCAAGGCGACGAUCAGUAGGGGUUCUAAGAGGAAGGUCCCCCACAUUGGAACUGAGACACGGUCCAAACGCCUACGGGAGGCAGCAGUGAGGAAUAUUGGUCAAUGGGCGGAAGCCUGAACCAGCCAAGUAGCGUGCAGGAUGACGGCCCUACGGGUUGUAAACUGCUUUUAUGCGGGGAUAAAGUGAGGGACGCGUCCUUUUUUGCAGGUACCGCAUGAAUAAGGACCGGCUAAUUCCGUG
Molecule: ribosomal RNA, 492 nt
Filed under: uncultured bacterium
Lineage: Bacteria
Description: partial 16S ribosomal RNA
Rfam family: Bacterial small subunit ribosomal RNA
Source: RNAcentral